This 256-nucleotide ribosomal RNA is filed under the name uncultured bacterium. Its description in RNAcentral is "partial 16S ribosomal RNA". It matches the Rfam family "Bacterial small subunit ribosomal RNA", at positions 524 to 776 of the family's 1533-position model. The record is from RNAcentral.
UACGUAGGGUGCAAGCGUUGUCCGGAUUUAUUGGGCGUAAAGAGCUCGUAGGCGGUUUGUCGCGUCGGAUGUGAAAACCCAGGGCUCAAUCCUGGGCCUGCAUUCGAUACGGGCAGACUAGAGUAUGGCAGGGGAGACUGGAAUUCCGUGGGUGUAGCGGUGAAAUGCGCAGAUAUCAGGAGGAACACCGGUGGCGAAGGCGGGUCUCUGGGCCAAAACUGACGCUGAGGAGCGAAAAGCGUGGGGAGCGAACAGG